RNAcentral lists this ribosomal RNA (382 nucleotides) under uncultured eukaryote. RNAcentral describes it as "partial 18S ribosomal RNA". It matches the Rfam family "Eukaryotic small subunit ribosomal RNA", at positions 592 to 976 of the family's 1831-position model. The record is from RNAcentral.
UGUAAGCGUAUACCAAAGUUGUUGCAGUUAAAACGCUCGUAGUCGGAAUUUGGCAGUUCCGGAUGUGUGCACGUCGUGUGCGCACUUCGCGGGGAUUGCUUUUGUGGUCUUGCGUAGGAUGAGGCACUUUUAUUAGUGAACGUCCUCACGCAACCACUUUUUACUGUGAGAAAAUCAGAGUGCUCAAAGCAGGCAUUUGCCGUGAAUGUAUUAGCAUGGAAUAAUAGAAUAGGGCUUGGUUCUAUUUUGUUGGUUUGUUGGGACUGAGUAAUGAUUAAGAGGGACAGUUGGGGGCAUUUGUAUUUCGGUGCUAGAGGUGAAAUUCUUAGAUUACCGAAAGACAAACUGCUGCGAAAGCGUCUGCCAAGGAUGUUUUCAUUGA